Molecule: ribosomal RNA, 482 nt
Filed under: uncultured bacterium
Lineage: Bacteria
Description: partial 16S ribosomal RNA
Rfam family: Bacterial small subunit ribosomal RNA
Source: RNAcentral
AUUGAACGCUGGCGGCAUGCUUUACACAUGCUAGUCGAACGGUAACAGGCCGCAAGGUGCUGACGAGUGGCGAACGGGUGAGUAAUGCAUCGGAACGUGCCCAGUCGUGGGGGAUAACUACUCGAAAGAGUAGCUAAUACCGCAUACGAUCUAUGGAUGAAAGCGGGGGACCGUAAGGCCUCGCGCGAUUGGAGCGGCCGAUGUCAGAUUAGGUAGUUGGUGGGGUAAAGGCUCACCAAGCCAACGAUCUGUAGCUGGUCUGAGAGGACGACCAGCCACACUGGGACUGAGACACGGCCCAGACUCCUACGGGAGGCAGCAGUGGGGAAUUUUGGACAAUGGGCGCAAGCCUGAUCCAGCAAUGCCGCGUGCAGGAAGAAGGCCUUCGGGUUGUAAACUGCUUUUGUACGGAACGAAACGGCUCUGGUUAAUACCCGGGGCUAAUGACGGUACCGUAAGAAUAAGCACCGGCUAACUACGUG